Molecule: ribosomal RNA, 1259 nt
Filed under: Phytophthora infestans (potato late blight agent)
Lineage: Eukaryota; Oomycota; Peronosporomycetes; Peronosporales; Peronosporaceae
Description: bacterial LSU rRNA
Rfam family: Bacterial large subunit ribosomal RNA
Source: RNAcentral
UAAAGAUAUAUUGUGAAAUAUAUUGAAGAUAUCAGAAAAGAAAAUGCUGGCAUUAGUAACAAAAAAUAACGUAUAUGAAUCGUUAUCACCGUAAAUCCAAGGGUUUCUAUGUUAAAAUGUAUUGCAUAGAGUGAAACGGCCCCUAAGAAAGAUUUGACGAAAGCAAAUUUUGAUGGGAUAAUUUUUAAAUUAAAUUUUUUUAAAAAAGUGACAAAAAUUUUUUAAUUUUUCAGGAAAUAGCUUUUUUAAUUAAAAACCGUACCCUAAACCGACACAGGUGGAUAGGUCGAGUAGACUAAGGUGAAUGAGAGAACUAUAUUGAAGGAACUCGGCAAAAUGACUUUGUAACUUCGGGAUAAAAAGUACCUAAUUAUUUAAAUUAAUUAGGUGUCACAAAAUAGGGGGUUGCGACUGUUUAAUAAAAACUUAGGACUCUGCUAAAUGGUAACAUGAUGUAUAGGGUCUGACACCUGCCCGGUGCUGGAAGAUUAAAAGGAGAUGUUUGCGCAUUAAAUGGAAGUCCCAGUAAACGGCGGCCGUAACUCUGACGGUCCUAAGGUAGCGAAAUUCCUUGUCGGGUAAGUUCCGACCUGCAUGAAUGGUGUAACGACAUCCCCGCUGUCUCCAAUAUAGACUCAGUGAAUUUGAAUUAUCCGUGAAGAUGCGGAUUUUCUAUAGUUAGACGGAAAGACCCCGUGAACCUUUACUACAUCUUUAUAUUGUUAUUUUAUCUAAUACGUGUAGCAUAAGUGGUAAUCUUUUAGAUCUUUACGCUAGUAAAUUGUUUAGAUAUCCUUGAAAUACCACUCUUAUUAUAAUAAAUAACUAAUAUUUUUUUAAAUAGACAGUGUAUGGUUGGUAGUUUGACUGGGGCGGUCACCUCCUAAAGAGUAACGGAGGUGUACAAAGGUAAGCUCAAAUUGGAUAAUAGUAUCAAUUGUAGAGCAUAAUGGUAAAAGCUUGCUUGACUGUAAGAUAGACAUAUCAAACAGGGACGAAAGUCGGUCAUAGUGAUCCGAUAAUUCUUUGUGGAAAGAUUAUCGCUCAACGGAUAAAAGGUACUCCGGGGAUAACAGGCUGAUGACUCCUAAGAGCUCCUAUCGACGGAGUCGUUUGGCACCUCGAUGUCGACUCAUCACAUCCUGGAGCUGAAGAAGGUUCCAAGGGUUCGGCUGUUCGCCGAUUAAAGUGGUACGUGAGUUGGGUUUAGAACGUCGUGAGACAGUUUGGUUCCUAUCUUCUAUAGAUGUUUUGAAAAA